RNAcentral lists this ribosomal RNA (463 nucleotides) under uncultured bacterium. Its description in RNAcentral is "partial 16S ribosomal RNA". It matches the Rfam family "Bacterial small subunit ribosomal RNA", at positions 28 to 507 of the family's 1533-position model. The record is from RNAcentral.
GACGAACGCUGGCGGCGUGCUUAACACAUGCAAGUCGAACGGAAAGGCCUUUUCGGCGGUACUCGAGUGGCGAACGGGUGAGUAACACGUGGGUGAUCUGCCCUGCACUCUGGGAUAAGCCUGGGAAACUGGGUCUAAUACCGGAUAGGACCGCACUUUAGUGUGUGUGGUGGAAAGUUUUUUCGGUGUAGGAUGAGCCCGCGGCCUAUCAGCUUGUUGGUGGGGUAAUGGCCUACCAAGGCGGCGACGGGUAGCCGGACUGAGAGGUUGGUCGGCCACAUUGGGACUGAGAUACGGCCCAGACUCCUACGGGAGGCAGCAGGGGGGAAUAUUGCACAAUGGGCGCAAGCCUGAUGCAGCGACGCCGCGUGGGGGAUGACGGCCUUCGGGUUGUAAACUCCUUUCGCCAGGGACGAAGCGUUUUGUGACGGUACCUGGAGAAGAAGCACCGGCUAACUACGUG